RNAcentral lists this ribosomal RNA (253 nucleotides) under uncultured bacterium. Its description in RNAcentral is "partial 16S ribosomal RNA". It matches the Rfam family "Bacterial small subunit ribosomal RNA", at positions 524 to 776 of the family's 1533-position model. The record is from RNAcentral.
UACGGAGGGUGCAAGCGUUGCUCGGAAUUAUUGGGCGUAAAGGGCUCGUAGGCGGUUUGUCGCGUCGGGAGUGAAAACCUACAGCUUAACUGUGGGCUUGCUUUCGAUACGGGCAGACUUGAGGCAUGCAGGGGAGAACGGAAUUCCUGGUGUAGCGGUGAAAUGCGCAGAUAUCAGGAGGAACACCGGUGGCGAAGGCGGUUCUCUGGGCAUGUUCUGACGCUGAGGAGCGAAAGUGUGGGGAGCGAACAGG